UGGGGAAUAUUGCACAAUGGGGGGAAACCCCGUGAUGCAGCGACGCCGCGUGAGUGAAGAAGUAUUUCGGUAUGUAAAGCUCUAUCAGCAGGGAAGAAAAUGACGGUACCUGACUAAGAAGCCCCGGCUAACUACGUGCC
Molecule: ribosomal RNA, 140 nt
Filed under: uncultured bacterium
Lineage: Bacteria
Description: partial 16S ribosomal RNA
Rfam family: Bacterial small subunit ribosomal RNA
Source: RNAcentral